RNAcentral lists this ribosomal RNA (477 nucleotides) under uncultured bacterium. RNAcentral describes it as "bacterial SSU rRNA". It matches the Rfam family "Bacterial small subunit ribosomal RNA", at positions 301 to 769 of the family's 1533-position model. The record is from RNAcentral.
CGACCAGCCACACUGGAACUGAGACACGGUCCAGACUCCUACGGGAGGCAGCAGUGGGGAAUUUUGGACAAUGGGGGCAACCCUGAUCCAGCCAUUCCGCGUGAGUGAAGAAGGCCUUCGGGUUGUAAAGCUCUUUCAGCAGGAACGAAACGGUGGUCCCUAAUACGGGCUACUAAUGACGGUACCUGAAGAAGAAGCACCGGCUAACUACGUGCCAGCAGCCGCGGUAAUACGUAGGGUGCGAGCGUUAAUCGGAAUUACUGGGCGUAAAGCGUGCGCAGGCGGUUAUAUAAGACAGAUGUGAAAUCCCCCGGGCUUAACCUGGGAACUGCGUUUGUGACUGUAUAACUCGAGUGUGGCAGAGGGGGGUGGAAUUCCACGUGUAGCAGUGAAAUGCGUAGAGAUGUGGAGGAACACCGAUGGCGAAGGCAGCCCCCUGGGUCAACACUGACGCUCAUGCACGAAAGCGUGGGGAGC